Molecule: ribosomal RNA, 474 nt
Filed under: Mycocitrus coccicola
Lineage: Eukaryota; Fungi; Ascomycota; Sordariomycetes; Hypocreales; Bionectriaceae
Description: eukaryotic LSU rRNA
Rfam family: Eukaryotic large subunit ribosomal RNA
Source: RNAcentral
CGGCGAGUGAAGCGGCAACAGCUCAAAUUUGAAAUCUGGCCCCAGGCCCGAGUUGUAAUUUGUAGAGGAUGUUUCUGGCGAAGUGCCUUCCGAGUUCCCUGGAACGGGACGCCAUAGAGGGUGAGAGCCCCGUACGGUUGGUUGCCUAGCCUCUGUGAAACUCCUUCGACGAGUCGAGUAGUUUGGGAAUGCUGCUCUAAAUGGGAGGUAUACGUCUUCUAAAGCUAAAUACCGGCCAGAGACCGAUAGCGCACAAGUAGAGUGAUCGAAAGAUGAAAAGCACUUUGAAAAGAGGGUUAAAUAGUACGUGAAAUUGUUGAAAGGGAAGCGUUUAUGACCAGACUUGGACAGGUUGAUCAUCCGUCGUUCUCGGCGGUGCACUCUGCCUGUCCAGGCCAGCAUCAGUUCGCCCCGGGGGAUAAAGACUUCGGGAAUGUGGCUCCCUCGGGAGUGUUAUAGCCCGUUGUGCAAUAC